This 1287-nucleotide ribosomal RNA is filed under the name Macromedaeus distinguendus. RNAcentral's name for it is "16S ribosomal RNA". The stretch from base 850 to 1222 matches the Rfam family "Bacterial large subunit ribosomal RNA", at positions 2073 to 2647 of the family's 2925-position model. Lineage: Eukaryota; Metazoa; Arthropoda; Malacostraca; Decapoda; Xanthidae. The record is from RNAcentral.
GAAAAAGUUAGAAAAUCAAUUUUAGGAGGAAAGUAAAGGUUAUUGAAAUUUAUAGUUUAAACGAUAGUUUAAAAGUACUGUGAAGGAAAAAGUAAAUAAAAAGAAAAUUAAAAUAGAAAUUAUAAAAUAAUGUACCUUGUGUAUUAGGGAAAAUUAAAAUUGGUUAAUUAUCAUUAAAGGUCUCGAAAUAAAUAACAGUUAAUUUUAAAAAAAGUUUUUGUAGUAAAAAAAUUUUUAAUUUAAAAUUAAAGAUGAAAUAUUAGUCGAGUUUUAUUAUAUCUAGUUUUUUAAUAAAUGAAUUGAAUUCAAGCUUGAAGUAUAAAGGUUUAGACUGCUUUAAGUUCAGGAGUAGAAGGGAAUAGCUUUUUAUUCAAAAUUUUAAUUAUAAUAGUUAAAAAAAUACAAAAUUUUGUAUUAGGCUUAGAAGUAGCUAUAAUUUUAAAGUGUUUAAACUAAGAAAAAGAGAAAAAUUAUUUAUUUUAACUUUAAUUAAUAUUAAAAUAUAUAUACAAAUAUUAUUUAUUUAGGUAUUUUGAUUUUAUUAGUAAAAUGUAAUGUUACAUAAAAUAUUUGUAGUAUUAAAUAUUAUGUAAAAGAUUUGAGAUAUUAUAAAGGAACUCGGCAAAAAAAUUCCUUGCCUGUUUAUCAAAAACAUGUCUGCUUGAAGAUAUAGGCAGUCUAGCCUGCUCACUGAUAAAAUUAUUUAAGGGCCGCGGUAUAUUGACCGUGCAAAGGUAGCAUAAUCAUUAGAGGUUUAAUUGGAAUCUGGUAUGAAUGGUUGGACAAAGGAAAAACUGUCUUUAUAAUGAAUUUUGAAGUUUACAUUUAAGUGAAAAGGCUUAAAUAAUUCAAGGGGACGAUAAGACCCUAUAAAGCUUUAUAAAUAAAUUAAAUUUAUCUAAGUUAAAUAAUAAAAGUUAAGUUUAAUUAUUUUAUUUUGUUGGGGUGAUGUGAGCAUAAUUAUAGUUAACUGCUUAAAAAAAAUUCUAUAUAAAAGAGUUUAAAUUUAUGAUCCUUUAUAAAGAUUGAAAGACUAAGUUACUUUAGGGGUAACAGCGUUAUUUCUUUUGAGAGUUCAUAUCGAAAAAGAAGAUUGCGACCUCGAUGUUGAAUUAAAAUAUCUAUAUAAUGUAGUCGUUAUAAAAGAGGGUCUGUUCGACCUUUAAAUUUUUACAUGAUUUGAGUUCAGACCGGCGUGAGCCAGGUCGGUUUCUAUCUCUUGAUAAGUAAAAAAUUACUUUAGUACGAAAGGAUUAAGUAAAUUUAAAUAGUUUGGUUAAAUGAAAU